This 513-nucleotide ribosomal RNA is filed under the name Mycobacterium avium complex sp. RNAcentral's name for it is "bacterial SSU rRNA". It matches the Rfam family "Bacterial small subunit ribosomal RNA", at positions 10 to 526 of the family's 1533-position model. Lineage: Bacteria; Bacillati; Actinomycetota; Actinomycetes; Mycobacteriales; Mycobacteriaceae. The record is from RNAcentral.
AGUUUGAUCCUGGCUCAGGACGAACGCUGGCGGCGUGCUUAACACAUGCAAGUCGAACGGAAAGGCCUCUUCGGAGGUACUCGAGUGGCGAACGGGUGAGUAACACGUGGGCAAUCUGCCCUGCACUUCGGGAUAAGCCUGGGAAACUGGGUCUAAUACCGGAUAGGACCUUUAGACGCAUGUCUUUUGGUGGAAAGCUUUUGCGGUGUGGGAUGGGCCCGCGGCCUAUCAGCUUGUUGGUGGGGUGAUGGCCUACCAAGGCGACGACGGGUAGCCGGCCUGAGAGGGUGUCCGGCCACACUGGGACUGAGAUACGGCCCAGACUCCUACGGGAGGCAGCAGUGGGGAAUAUUGCACAAUGGGCGCAAGCCUGAUGCAGCGACGCCGCGUGGGGGAUGACGGCCUUCGGGUUGUAAACCUCUUUCACCAUCGACGAAGGUCCGGGUUUUCUCGGAUUGACGGUAGGUGGAGAAGAAGCACCGGCCAACUACGUGCCAGCAGCCGCGGUAAUAC